This 505-nucleotide ribosomal RNA is filed under the name uncultured bacterium. RNAcentral's name for it is "partial 16S ribosomal RNA". It matches the Rfam family "Bacterial small subunit ribosomal RNA", at positions 28 to 507 of the family's 1533-position model. The record is from RNAcentral.
GACGAACGCUGGCGGCGUGCCUAAUACAUGCAAGUAGAACGCACAGUUUAUACCGUAGCUUGCUACACCAUAGACUGUGAGUUGCGAACGGGUGAGUAACGCGUAGGUAACCUGCCUGGUAGCGGGGGAUAACUAUUGGAAACGAUAGCUAAUACCGCAUAAUAUUGAUUAUUGCAUGAUAAUUGAUGGAAAGAUGCUAUUGCAUCACUACCAGAUGGACCUGCGUUGUAUUAGCUAGUAGGGGAGGUAACGGCUCACCUAGGCGACGAUACACAGCCGACCUUGGAAGGUGGUCGGCCCCACUGGGACCUGGACACGGCCCAGGCUCCUUCGGGGAGCCGCCGUAGGGGAUCUUCGGCAAUAGACGGAAGUCUGACCGAGCAACGCCGCGUGAGUGGAGAAGGUUUUCGGAUCGUAAAGCUCUGUUGUUAGAGGAGAACGGGUGUGGGAGUGGAAAGUUCACACUGUGACGGUAUCUGACCAGAAAGGGACGGCUAACUACGUG